GAAUAGCUCAGUCAGUAGAGCAUGAGACUCCUGAUCUCAGGGUUGUGCGUAUGAGCCUCACAUUGGACA
Podarcis lilfordi (Lilford's wall lizard) is the source of this 69-nucleotide non-coding RNA. The record is from the annotation of a GenBank genome assembly. Lineage: Eukaryota; Metazoa; Chordata; Lepidosauria; Squamata; Lacertidae.